RNAcentral lists this unclassified non-coding RNA (230 nucleotides) under Hevea brasiliensis (rubber tree). Lineage: Eukaryota; Viridiplantae; Streptophyta; Magnoliopsida; Malpighiales; Euphorbiaceae. The record is from RNAcentral.
GCAUGUAAGGGCCAAGUCUUGCACCAUAAAAUUUCAAAUACGCAGGAGGACAAUGGUGAUGCACUAAUCAAAAUGGUAAAUUACAUUUAUCCUACCAUGAAUUACAUUUAAAGUGCAGCCAGAGUUUAUAAGAUAGCUUCAUGUAAUAUUGAUACCAGCUCAAGGAAACAGUAUGCAGCCCUUUUCAAGUAUUUUAUCUGAAAAUAAAUUUGAAAAUGAUGAAAAAGUUU